UACGUAGGUGGCAAGCGUUAUCCGGAUUUAUUGGGUGUAAAGGGCGUGUAGGCGGGAGCGCAAGUCAGAUGUGAAAACUCAGGGCUCACCCUGAGCCUGCAUUUGAAACUGUUUUUCUUGAGUGCUGGAGAGGCAAUCGGAAUUCCGUGUGUAGCGGUGAAAUGCGUAGAUAUACGGAGGAACACCAGUGGCGAAGGCGGAUUGCCGGACAGUAACUGACGCUGAGGCGCGAAAGCGUGGGGAGCAAACAGG
This 252-nucleotide ribosomal RNA is filed under the name uncultured bacterium. RNAcentral describes it as "partial 16S ribosomal RNA". It matches the Rfam family "Bacterial small subunit ribosomal RNA", at positions 524 to 776 of the family's 1533-position model. The record is from RNAcentral.